GUGCUCGCUUUGGCAGCAUAUAUACGAAAACUGGAACAAUACAGAGGUUAUCAUGGCCCUGUGUAAGCAUGACAUGCAAAUUUGUGAAGCAUUCCAUAUUUUU
Molecule: small nuclear RNA, 103 nt
Filed under: Microcebus murinus (gray mouse lemur)
Lineage: Eukaryota; Metazoa; Chordata; Mammalia; Primates; Cheirogaleidae
Source: RNAcentral